Molecule: ribosomal RNA, 245 nt
Filed under: uncultured bacterium
Lineage: Bacteria
Description: partial small subunit ribosomal RNA
Rfam family: Bacterial small subunit ribosomal RNA
Source: RNAcentral
AGAAUCAACGCUGGCGGCGUGCCUAACACAUGCAAGUCGAACGAGAAAGUGGAGCAAUCCAUGAGUAAAGUGGCGCACGGGUGAGUAACACGUGACUAACCUACCCUUGAGUGGGGAAUAACUUCGGGAAACCGAGGCUAAUACCGCAUAACACCUACGGGUCAAAGGAGCAAUUCGCUUAAGGAGGGGGUCGCGGCAGAUUAGCUAGUUGGCGGGGUAAUGGCCCACCAAGGCAGUGAUCUGUA